AGUAUCGAUACUUGCCGAAUGAUACGAAGUGGACUGGUUUUAACCGGUAUCUGUCAAAACGAAAGUUAAAUGUAAUCGAUAGGCAAAUAAUUUAUCAAAAAACUAGGAAAAUCGCAUCUUUUUGAAGGUUGCAACUUUCCUAUUAAUUGAAUUAGUCUCUGCCCUGAGAUAUGAAACUUCUGGAGAAAAGAAAUGAGGGCGCCAACAUCAGAGAUAUACACAAUGCUUUUUUCCAUGAGUAUCUUGAUAAGUCUCCAGAUGAUGGAGGGGAGAACUCCUAAAUGUGACCCUGAGGACAACAUGUACUAUCAUUCCCAGGCCCUCGCCUGUUUUCAGUGUGAGGUAUGCCUAAAAGGGGAUGAAGUCAUACCUAUGGAGCAAUGGAAUUUGAGAAACUGGAAUCCCCAAACUGGACCCACCGAAUGCAGACCUUGUCAGAAAUGUAGACCUGGCACUUUCAGUAAAGGUCGAUCCUAUGAAUGUACAGUUUGUAGGAACUGUACACUCCAUGGUCAAUACGAGACUGCCCCAUGUACACACCUGAAGGAUACAGUGUGUGAUGGAGUCUUGCCCCUUGCAGAAAAUAU
This is a long non-coding RNA of Saccostrea cuccullata (small rock oyster), 587 nucleotides long. RefSeq lists it as uncharacterized. The record is from RefSeq and is a predicted model, not a curated record. Lineage: Eukaryota; Metazoa; Mollusca; Bivalvia; Ostreida; Ostreidae. The transcript has 3 exons.